RNAcentral lists this ribosomal RNA (348 nucleotides) under uncultured bacterium. RNAcentral describes it as "partial 16S ribosomal RNA". It matches the Rfam family "Bacterial small subunit ribosomal RNA", at positions 338 to 698 of the family's 1533-position model. The record is from RNAcentral.
CCUACGGGUGGCAGCAGUCGAGAAUCAUUCACAAUGGGGGAAACCCUGAUGGUGCGACGCCGCGUGGGGGAAUGAAGGUCUUCGGAUUGUAAACUCCUGUCAUGUGGGAGUAAAUCAAAAAGAUAGUACUACAAGAGGAAGAGACGGCUAACUCUGUGCCAGCAGCCGCGGUAAUACAGAGGUCUCAAGCGUUGUUCGGAAUCACGGGGCGUAAGCGUGCGUGGGCUGUUUCGUAAGUCGCGUGUGAAAGGCGGGGGCUCAACCCGCGGACGGCCCAUAAUACUGCGGGACUAGAGUAAAGGAGGGGGAGCCGGAAUUCUCGGUGUAGCAGUGAAAUGCGUAGAUAUC